Molecule: long non-coding RNA, 1754 nt
Filed under: Lytechinus variegatus (green sea urchin)
Lineage: Eukaryota; Metazoa; Echinodermata; Echinoidea; Temnopleuroida; Toxopneustidae
Description: uncharacterized LOC121428391, transcript variant X3
Source: RNAcentral
UUGGUCCAAUAUCACAGCUGCAAAUCCUGAUGAAGUUGAUUUCAACUUAUUUUGGCUAGCGAUGCAAGUAUUGCGAAAUGAGUGGGACUUCGUCAAGGUCCUUUUGAAUGUUCAAGAGUUGAUGCAGGUGAUGAAAACAUGCACCAGAUUCAUGAAAAUCAAUGAUUGUUUCUGAAAAAGUUGAUAGACCUGAUGCAUCAACAGAAGCAGUAAUGUGAUUAAAAGAUAUUUUUAUUAAGGUUGUAGGUUGUGUUUUUUUACAUAUAAAACAUUUUAAAAGUAAAAUUCAAUCUUUUUUUUUUACCAUUGAAGCAUUAUUUUUGCUAAAAAUAAGGAUGUGCUCCCUCUUUGAUUAAAAUCAUUUAAAAGACUUGUUAAAUCAUCUAUGUAGGCCCAUUUAUUAUGUCAUAUAUGUUGGACCUAAAAAAAAAUUAGAAGACAUCUUAAUAAGAAAUGUUCUUUCUGCCCUGAAUUCACAGAUUACCUCUGCAGUUAAACAGUGAUCUUCCACAUUCUUACAACAUAUUGAAAUAUAAACAUAUUUGGCUCAGUUAUGCUAGUGACACAUGUGCGAGAUACCAUGGCUCACAGUUACCCUAGCGGCACAUGUACAGGAUACCGUAUGGGAGCUCCACUACAUGGCAUGCAUUGCAGGUACAUGAUAUCUUCAAUUAUUUCUUGGAUCCCACGACGGAGAAAUGAUCUUGGAUGAAGAGGGAAAAUCGCAACAAUCCUGGCAAGAUCCUGAUGUGCAUGACUGAAACACAAGUUCGCCUCUGAUCUCUUGUCAAGGCAAGUUGGAAAUAAAAUGGAACAUCGUCACGCUGUUGAAGGCAUUCUGUUUCAGGUGCUGUUAUUUGGAAGAAAGCAGGACUCAGUGCAUCAAAUAUUGUACAUGUAGAUGAUCUCUCCCUCCUGAUGCUGUUUUGAAAAGAUAUUUUCACAUCCUAACAACAGUAUUAUCCAUGCUAAACAGAACAAAUUGUUUGACCAAGGGUAUCUUCAAGUAGCAUGGUCGUUUCAAAAGAUUGAUGUUAUUUGGCGAUGCUACAAACUGGGUAUUGUCCAGAGCUGCAGCAAACUUUUAAUGUAAUAUGAUGUUGGCUUAUCGUCCAGAGCUACUGCCAACUUUUGGUGCACAAAAUGGAACACAUCUCUCUUGAAAGGUCUUAUUUUUCACCAGAAUUGAGAACAAGUGAUCAAAGAUAUAGAAGACCCAAGCCUGAGCUGUGAGAUGACUUCAUUGUGGCCUUCAGCCAAAAUUGAGAUACUCCAUUCACAUGCACGUUAUGGUGUGAUUUUGUUUUUACGUCCUACUUUGCUUUGCCAGCUAGAGUGUGAGUAAGCCUACCAACAGCGGAGUGAUGGCGAUAAGUGUUGCAUUCCCAACGGUCAUCCAAAGCAGUAAAUUCGCUGACAAGGAGCGCUCACUGUCUGCCCUUGUAAAGUCAACAAGGCAAAUAUGAAGCUGGAAAUUUCCUGGGAAUGACUUGAUGCUUCCACGGUACAUCAAAGAGGGGCAAACAGCUGUAAGAUAAGUACGAGAUGGCCCAAAUCAAGACUGCAAAUCGAUAAGGACUUGCUUGACUUCCUGAGGCAGGCACUUAGCAGGUGAGAUACAUAGAGUAUGAGUGUGAGUUGGUCUGAAUCAUCAAGACAGCAAAACGAUGAGGACUUGACUGGAGGCAGAUAUAUUUCAGAACAUUAACAAAGAGACACCUGCAAAAACUUUGGAAGUGAGAAGAUAUGUCAAG